RNAcentral lists this ribosomal RNA (490 nucleotides) under uncultured bacterium. RNAcentral's name for it is "partial 16S ribosomal RNA". It matches the Rfam family "Bacterial small subunit ribosomal RNA", at positions 30 to 507 of the family's 1533-position model. The record is from RNAcentral.
AUUGAACGCUGGCGGCAGGCCUAACACAUGCAAGUCGAACGGUAACAGGGAUCAGCUUGCUGAUUCGCUGACGAGUGGCGGACGGGUGAGUAAUGUCUGGGAAACUGCCUGAUGGAGGGGGCUAACUACUGGAAACGGUAGCUAAUACCGCAUAACGUCGCAAAACCAAAGAGGGGGACCUUCGGGCCUCUUGCCAUCGGAUGUGCCCAGAUGGGAUUAGCUAGUAGGUGGGGUAACGGCUCACCUAGGCGACGAUCCCUAGCUGGUCUGAGAGGAUGACCAGCCACACUGGAACUGAGACACGGUCCAAACUCCUACGGGAGGCAGCAGUGGGGAAUAUUGCACAAUGGGCGCAAGCCUGAUGCAGCCAUGCCGCGUGUAUGAAGAAGGCCUUCGGGUUGUAAAGUACUUUCAGCGGGGAGGAAGGGAGUAAAGUUAAUACCUUUGCUCAUUGACGUUACCCGCAGAAGAAGCACCGGCUAACUCCGUG